CAGUCGCCACGGUAAAACCAGCACCUCGAGUGGUCAGGAGGUUUAUUGGGCCUAAAGCAUCCGUAGCCGGUUGCAUAAGUUUUCGGUUAAAUCUAUGCGCUUAACGUAUAGGCCGCCGAAAAUACUGUGCAGCUAGGGAGUGGGAGAGGUACACGGUACUCGAUAGGAAGGGGUAAAAUCCUUUGAUCUAUUGAUGACCACCUGUGGCGAAGGCGGUGUACCAGAACACGCUCGACGGUGAGGGAUGAAAGCUGGGGGAGCAAACCGGAUUAGAUACCCGCGUAGUCCCUGUCUCUUAUAC
Molecule: ribosomal RNA, 301 nt
Filed under: uncultured bacterium
Lineage: Bacteria
Description: partial 16S ribosomal RNA
Rfam family: Archaeal small subunit ribosomal RNA
Source: RNAcentral